AUGACCAGUGCCGCCCCCGCCCCUGCUAAGAAACCCUACCGUAAGGCACCACCAGAGCAUCGGGAGCUGCGAUUGGAAAUUCCUGGAUCCCGGCUUGAGCAGGAGGAACCCCUGACUGACGCAGAAAGGAUGAAGCUCUUGCAGCAGGAGAAUGAAGAGCUUCGCCGGCGCCUGGCCUCCGCCACCAGACGCACUGAGGCCCUGGAACGUGAGCUGGAAAUCGGGCAGGACUGCCUGGAGCUGGAGCUGGGCCAGAGCCGCGAGGAGCUGGACAAAUUUAAGGAUAAGUUCCGCAGGCUGCAGAACAGCUACACAGCUUCCCAGCGGACCAACCAGGAGUUGGAGGACAAGCUGCACACACUGAUCAAGAAGGCUGAGAUGGAUAGGAAGACGCUGGACUGGGAGAUUGUGGAGCUGACCAACAAGCUGCUGGAUGCCAAGAACACCAUUAACAAGCUGGAAGAGCUCAACGAGCGGUACCGACUGGACUGCAACCUGGCUGUGCAGCUCCUCAAGUGCAACAAGUCCCACUUCCGAAACCACAAGUUUGCUGAUCUGCCCUGUGAGCUACAGGACAUGGUUCGGAAACAUCUGCACAGUGGUCAAGAGGCUGCCAGCCCAGGUCCUGCUCCCAGCCUAGCCCCAGGGGCUGUGGUGCCUACCUCGGUCAUUGCCCGAGUGUUAGAGAAGCCGGAGUCUCUACUGCUCAAUUCAGCCCAGUCAGGCAGCGCCGGGCGCCCCUUGGCUGAGGAUGUCUUUGUGCAUGUGGACAUGAGCGAGGGUGUCCCAGGUAAUCCAGCCAGUCCCCCGGCCCCUGGCAGCCCCACCCCGCAACCCAAUGGGGAGUGCCACUCUCUGGAUACUGCCAGGGGCUCCCCGGAGGAAGAGCUGCCCCUGCCAGCCUUUGAGAAGCUGAGCCCCUACCCAACCCCAUCUCCACCACACCCACUGUAUCCUGGCCGCAGGGUAAUAGAGUUCUCUGAGGAUAAGGUUCGGAUCCCCCGCAACAGCCCCCUGCCCAACUGCACUUACGCUACCCGCCAGGCCAUUUCACUGAGCCUGGUGGAGGAGGGGAGUGAGCGGGCCCGCCCUAGCCCAGUGCCCAGUACCCCUGCCUCAGCCCAGGCCUCACCCCACCACCAGCCCAGCCCAGCGCCCCCAACACUCAGUGCCCCAGCUAGCUCUGCCAGCUCUGAAGAGGACCUGCUGGCCAGCUGGCAGCGGGCAUUUGUGGACCGUACUCCGCCACCUGCCGCUGUGGCCCAGCGCACAGCCUUUGGACGCGACGCCCUCCCUGAGCUGCAGCGCCAUUUUGCCCAUAGCCCCGCUGACAGAGAUGAGGUGGUCCAGGCACCUUCUCCCCGACCGGAAGAGAGUGAACUUUUGCUACCCAUAGAACCUGACUCUGGCUUUCCCAGGGAGGAGGAAGAAGAGCUGAACCUGCCCAUCAGCCCUGAGGAAGAGCGCCAGAGCCUGCUGCCCGUUAACAGUGGCACAGAGGAGGGGUCAGGCACUUCCCACACUGAGGGCAGGGCCUGGCCACUCCCCAGCUCCAGCCGCCCCCAGCGCAGCCCCAAGAGGAUGGGGGUUCACCACCUGCACCGCAAGGACAGCCUCACCCAGGCCCAGGAGCAGGGCAACCUGCUCAACUAGGGCCUCUGGUGGCCUUCCUGCCAUUGCUGCACUGGGACUGCAAGGAGGCCCCAUACCUUGGCAGCUCAGGGUCCCCAGUCCAAGGCCUUGAUCUCUCCCCAAUCCAUACCUGCACAGCUGUUCCCUGUGUGGGUGGGGUCAGGUGGUGGGCCAUGCCAGGCCUGUCAGCUGCGUUGACUGACCACGGCAGCUUGCCUCAUGGUUUUCCCCUUUUCUUAGAAUAUUUAUUCUCCACAGUAACAUGCAGUUGGGUCUCAAGACCUUUUCUCCAAUCAGCCCAACCCAGCCCAGACUGGGCUGUUCUGGGGAGCUGAGGAGUUUAUCAGUAUUCAUCUUCCAUUCUCCUUUCAUAGUCACAAGUUUUGUUAUUUUGUUUCUUUUGGGGGGUGGUGGUGUAAUUGUUAACUUCAUUUCUGUUUCCUACCUGUUUGCUUUCCCCCCCAAUCCUCCGCAUGAGCUGUUGCCCUCCGGGGGCCCGGCACAGCUGGCCUUGGGGACCAGAGAGAGGACUGACUCAGGGCCCCCUCAGCUGUCUCUUCCCUCUCUCUGGAAAGGAGGUGGGGCUCAGGGGCCUCAAGCUGCGCUCUGGGUGAGGCCUGGCCUCUACUCCCAACCUUGGCUCUAGACUGUUACUCCAAGCUUUGGGAAAUUUUCACAUUGAUGACUAUUUUAAAAUCAAAUAAAACUAUUUUACUGGUAUGGCCUAACUUGUCU
Molecule: long non-coding RNA, 2367 nt
Filed under: Theropithecus gelada (gelada)
Lineage: Eukaryota; Metazoa; Chordata; Mammalia; Primates; Cercopithecidae
Description: lncRNA (ENSTGEG00000029652.1)
Source: RNAcentral